Molecule: ribosomal RNA, 801 nt
Filed under: Brevibacterium sp.
Lineage: Bacteria; Bacillati; Actinomycetota; Actinomycetes; Micrococcales; Brevibacteriaceae
Description: bacterial SSU rRNA
Rfam family: Bacterial small subunit ribosomal RNA
Source: RNAcentral
UGCAGUCGAACGCUGAAGCGACCAGCUUGCUGGUCGUGGAUGAGUGGCGAACGGGUGAGUAACACGUGAGUAACCUGCCCCUGACUUCGGGAUAAGCCUGGGAAACCGGGUCUAAUACCGGAUACGACCUCAGGCCGCAUGGUGGGUGGUGGAAAGUUUUUUCGGUUGGGGAUGGGCUCGCGGCCUAUCAGUUAGUUGGUGAGGUAAUGGCUCACCAAGACGACGACGGGUAGCCGGCCUGAGAGGGCGACCGGCCACACUGGGACUGAGACACGGCCCAGACUCCUACGGGAGGCAGCAGUGGGGAAUAUUGCACAAUGGGGGAAACCCUGAUGCAGCGACGCAUCGUGCGGGAUGACGGCCUUCGGGUUGUAAACCGCUUUCAGCAGGGAAGAAGCGCAAGUGACGGUACCUGCAGAAGAAGUACCGGCUAACUACGUGCCAGCAGCCGCGGUAAUACGUAGGGUACGAGCGUUGUCCGGAAUUAUUGGGCGUAAAGAGCUCGUAGGUGGUUGGUCACGUCUGCUGUGGAAACGCAACGCUUAACGUUGCGCGGGCAGUGGGUACGGGCUGACUACAGUGCAGUAGGGGAGUCUGGAAUUCCUGGUGUAGCGGUGAAAUGCGCAGAUAUCAGGAGGAACACCGGUGGCGAAGGCGGGACUCUGGGCUGUAACUGACACUGAGGAGCGAAAGCAUGGGGAGCGAACAGGAUUAGAUACCCUGGUAGUCCAUGCCGUAAACGUUGGGCACUAGGUGUGGGGGACAUUCCACGUUCUCCGCGCCGUAGCUAACGCAUUAAGU